CGCCGAACGAUCAGUAGGGGGUUCUGGAGAGGAAGGCCCCCCACAUUGGAACUGAAACACGGUCCAAACUCCUACGGGAGGCAGCAGUGAGGAAUAUUGGUCAAUGGACGCAAGUCUGAACCAGCCAAGUAGCGUGCAGGAUGACGGCCCUAUGGGUUGUAAACUGCUUUUAUGUGGAAAUAAAGUGGCGCACGUGUGCCCCAUUGCAUGUACCUCAUGAAUAAGGACCGGCUAAUUCCGUGCCAGCACCCGCGGUAAUACGGAAGGUCCGGGCGUUAUCCGGAUUUAUUGGGUUUAAAGGGAGUGUAGGCGGUCUGUUAAGCGUGUUGUGAAAUUUAGGUGCUCAACAUUUAACUUGCAGCGCGAACUGUCAAACUUGAGUACACCCAGCGCAGGCGGAAUUCAUGGUGUAGCGGUGAAAUGCUUAAAUAUCAUGAGGAACUCCAAUCGCGAAGGCAGCCUGCGGGAGUGUUACUGACGCUUAAGCUCGAAGGUGCGGGUAUCAAACAGGAUUAAAUACCCUGGUAGUCCGCACUGUAAACAAUGGAUGCCCGCCGUUGGCGCGCUGCGCCUGCGGCCAAGCGAAAGCAUUAAGCAUCCCACCUGGGGAGUACGCCGGCAACGGUGAAACUCAAAGGAAUUGACGGGGGCCCGCACAAGCGGAGAAACAUGUGGUUUAAUUCGAUGAUACGCGAGGACCCUUACCCGGGCUUGAAUUGCAGUCGCAGCCCACAGAGACGUGGGA
Molecule: ribosomal RNA, 745 nt
Filed under: Prevotella nigrescens
Lineage: Bacteria; Pseudomonadati; Bacteroidota; Bacteroidia; Bacteroidales; Prevotellaceae
Description: bacterial SSU rRNA
Rfam family: Bacterial small subunit ribosomal RNA
Source: RNAcentral